RNAcentral lists this ribosomal RNA (253 nucleotides) under uncultured bacterium. RNAcentral describes it as "partial 16S ribosomal RNA". It matches the Rfam family "Bacterial small subunit ribosomal RNA", at positions 524 to 776 of the family's 1533-position model. The record is from RNAcentral.
CACGUAGGAGGCGAGCGUUGUCCGGAAUCAUUGGGCGUAAAGAGCGUGUAGGCGGCUUGGUAGGUCAGCUGUGAAAACUCGAGGCUCAACCUCGAGACGUCGGUUGAAACCACCUGGCUAGAGUCCGGAAGAGGAGUGUGGAAUUCCCGGUGUAGCGGUGAAAUGCGCAGAUAUCGGGAAGAACACCCGUGGCGAAGGCGGCACUCUGGGACGGUACUGACGCUGAGACGCGAAAGCGUGGGGAGCGAACAGG